UCCGAAGGGUGCAAGCGUUACUCGGAAUUACUGGGCGUAAAGCGCUCGCAGGUGGUUCGUUGCGUCGUGCGUGAAAGACCCCGGCUCAACUGGGGAGCGUCGUGCGAUACGGGCGGACUGGAGGCCAGUAGGGGGAUGCGGAAUUCCGGGUGUAGUGGUGGAAUGCGUAGAGAUCCGGAGGAACACCAGCGGCGAAGGCGGCAUCCUGGACUGGUCCUGACACUCAUGAGCGAAAGCGUGGGGAGCGAGCCGG
This 253-nucleotide ribosomal RNA is filed under the name uncultured bacterium. RNAcentral's name for it is "partial 16S ribosomal RNA". It matches the Rfam family "Bacterial small subunit ribosomal RNA", at positions 524 to 776 of the family's 1533-position model. The record is from RNAcentral.